AGGGCGGGACACGUGUUAUCCUGUCUGAAUAUGGGGGGACCAUCCUCCAAGGCUAAAUACUCCUGACUGACCGAUAGUGAACCAGUACCGUGAGGGAAAGGCGAAAAGAACCCCUGUGAGGGGAGUGAAAUAGAACCUGAAACCGUGUACGUACAAGCAGUAGGAGCACCUUCGUGGUGUGACUGCGUACCUUUUGUAUAAUGGGUCAGCGACUUAUAUUCAGUGGCAAGGUUAACCAUCUAGGGGAGCCGUAGGGAAACCGAGUCUUAACUGGGCGCCAUAGUCUCUGGAUAUAGACCCGAAACCGAGUGAUCUAGCCAUGGGCAGGUUGAAGGUUGAGUAACAUCAACUGGAGGACCGAACCGACUAAUGUUGAAAAAUUAGCGGAUGACUUGUGGCUAGGGGUGAAAGGCCAAUCAAACUCGGAGAUAGCUGGUUCUCCCCGAAAGCUAUUUAGGUAGCGCCUCGGACGAAUACUACUGGGGGUAGAGCACUGUUAAGGCUAGGGGGUCAUCCCGACUUACCAACCCUUUGCAAACUCCGAAUACCAGUAAGUACUAUCCGGGAGACACACGGCGGGUGCUAACGUCCGUCGUGGAGAGGGAAACAACCCAGACCGCCAGCUAAGGUCCCAAAUUACAGCUAAGUGGGAAACGAUGUGGGAAGGCUUAGACAGCUAGGAUGUUGGCUUAGAAGCAGCCAUCAUUUAAAGAAAGCGUAAUAGCUCACUAGUCGAGUCGGCCUGCGCGGAAGAUGUAACGGGGCUAAGUUGUAAACCGAA
This 781-nucleotide ribosomal RNA is filed under the name Vibrio vulnificus. RNAcentral's name for it is "partial 23S ribosomal RNA". It matches the Rfam family "Bacterial large subunit ribosomal RNA", at positions 414 to 1198 of the family's 2925-position model. Lineage: Bacteria; Pseudomonadati; Pseudomonadota; Gammaproteobacteria; Vibrionales; Vibrionaceae. The record is from RNAcentral.